This 539-nucleotide ribosomal RNA is filed under the name uncultured Hymenobacter sp. RNAcentral's name for it is "bacterial SSU rRNA". It matches the Rfam family "Bacterial small subunit ribosomal RNA", at positions 96 to 633 of the family's 1533-position model. Lineage: Bacteria; Pseudomonadati; Bacteroidota; Cytophagia; Cytophagales; Hymenobacteraceae. The record is from RNAcentral.
UGGCGCACGGGUGCGUAACGCGUAACCAACCUACCCUUGACUGGGGGAUAGCCCGCCGAAAGGCGGAUUAAUACCGCAUAAAACUGCAGCACGGCAUCGUGUAACAGUUAAAGAUUUAUUGGUCAAGGAUGGGGUUGCGUGCCAUUAGCUAGUUGGGGGGGUAACGGCCCACCAAGGCGACGAUGGCUAGGGGAGCUGAGAGGCUGGUCCCCCACACGGGCACUGAGAUACGGGCCCGACUCCUACGGGAGGCAGCAGUAGGGAAUAUUGGGCAAUGGCCGAGAGGCUGACCCAGCCAUGCCGCGUGCAGGAUGAAGGCUUUCUGAGUCGUAAACUGCUUUUACCAGGGAAGAAAAAAGGGGAUGCGUCCCCUACUGACGGUACCUGGUGAAUAAGCACCGGCUAACUCCGUGCCAGCAGCCGCGGUAAUACGGAGGGUGCAAGCGUUGUCCGGAUUUAUUGGGUUUAAAGGGUGCGUAGGCGGCCGAUUAAGUCUGGGGUGAAAGCCCGUUGCUCAACAACGGAACUGCCCCGGAAAC